CUGAGGAGCGGGCUCCUUCCUUCCUUCCUUCCUGCCUACCUGCCUCGUCACUCCGUCUCUUUCUCGUCGACGCGGGGGCCAAGUGCCGCUGGAGUUCUCCUCAUAGCGCCCGUGCGGCGGGGAAAUCGCGUCCGGAGGGGCGGCUCAGGCGGACGGCGCUGCAGUGCAGUUGGAGGACGGCGGGGCGGUCCAUGGUGCUGCUACUGCUGCUGCUGCUGAAAGCGGCAGAUCUUCCCGACUCAGCCGGCUGCGGCGUUGCUGGCGGUGGGUCUCGCUUGGCCCCGCCUCCGCCACCCCUUCGCUCGGGUUCCUUUGUCCGCUACGCGAUUACGGGGCCGUUGCAGCUUCUUUCCUCUCAGUUGCUGUUUGAUACGACCACAGGGUUCUUUCCAGCUCUUCGCUCUGCUUACGCGCCCCUACGGAUUACUCUUCGGGAAUACGGAACCGACCGCCCCAUUUCUCCGGACUCGGAAGGAGCCGCUGCGCUCUCGUCGGUGUUACGCACGCACUCCCCCCAAAGCCGAGCUACGCAGCCUUGCUGAGCGUCUUCCGUGGAUGCCGAGCCGAACAGCCGAACGGUCUCCGAGCCGAACAGCUUCGGAGGGAAAUCCAAUCAGGAGAAAGUUAACGCAGAGAGCCCUCCCUUCUAGCACUACAUCGGGGCCAAUCGCCGCCGGUGGAAGGAAAGCAUCCGCGCUAUAUAAGCAGCCAAUGACAGAAGAGCUACGAAAAUAAUCGGACAGCGCAUUCUUUCCUUUCUGGGAUCCAAUGAAGAACGUUGGGUCCCGAAUUGUCACCGCUGCGGAACCAAUGGAGCACACGGAUGCUUCCCACGGCAUUUGGACGAACCCGGAGAGGAGGCUGAUGCGAAAUGGGCGGGGCUUCAACGGGAACUUCUCUGCCGUUCCAGGGCGCCUGGCGGGGCGUGAGCGGUAUCAUGCGAUGGGCGCCGCAAGCGGGACGGGCGAUCUUUCGUUGCCCUGAAAGCGUGGUCGCAACUCGGAUUUUCUCUUGGUAGACGUUGCUGCGCUCUGAUGACCGUUUCUCGCCCGCUCCGCUGGAGGGAGGUUGGUUGGGUGCAAAUAUGUCGGUACCGCUUUGGGGACGCAGUAAAGUGCAGUCGUCGCCCUGCGCACUGUCAGCCGAGCUAGUCUUAGCCGUGCCGCGGUUUGAGGGGCGAAGGGAAGUUCCAGCGCGACUGAAGAUGUCAGAUUAGAGAACUCAUGCUAUCAUCAAUUCUUCCAAGUAGCAACACAGAUAAAAUGCUCAAAGGUAUAUGUUAUACAUGCAAAGAGGAAAAGGGGACCACAUCGCUAUCUCCUUGUCAAUCUUCCAUGGUGUUAAACAUAACUUCAGCCUGUAAUUAGAGUUCCUGCAGCCAUAUCACAUGGAUGGUUCAUACUCAGCUUACAAGCAACUACUACUCCAGGAUACUUUUCACAAACAUCAUUAACCAAGCUAGAUAUUCCCCACCUCUGCCUUGGAUUUUUAUUUCCUAAGUGAGGAACAUUGCACUUGCCUCUGGUAAAUUUCUUUCGUUGCUUUCAGUGUAUUUCUCCAAUCACAGUAAUUUUUAAUUGUAUUUCUGUCUUCCAUGGUAUUAAUUCUCCCUCCCAAUUUUAUAUCAUAUGCAACUUUAAUAAUUACUUCUGCCUCUUCAUCCAAAUCAUUAAUAAAAACAUUGAAAAGUAGAUAUAGAAAUGUUUCUUAUGGCACUUCACUUGACACCUCUAAUUUGUCCGGCAAGACUUCUUGAUAAACCAUGCUGGCUUCUAGUAAUCAAUACAUUGAGAAUAAUAUGAGUUUGCUCACAAAUGUGCUUCCUUCCUUCCUUAUGCAUAGGCAUUAGGAAUAAUGGAUGGAUGGAUGGAUGGAUGGAUGGA
Non-coding RNA from Python bivittatus (Burmese python), 1883 nucleotides. The record is from RefSeq and is a predicted model, not a curated record. NCBI's taxonomy places the organism in Eukaryota, Metazoa, Chordata, Lepidosauria, Squamata, Pythonidae.